Molecule: long non-coding RNA, 642 nt
Filed under: Felis catus (domestic cat)
Lineage: Eukaryota; Metazoa; Chordata; Mammalia; Carnivora; Felidae
Description: lncRNA (ENSFCAG00000040807.2)
Source: RNAcentral
UCUCUGAAUCCCACAUAGGAGGUUUGAUCCAGGCCUUUAAAGAGUCUCUGUUCUUGGAGAGAAUCACUAUGGUAGGAAUUUAUUACAGGUGAAUUUCUGGAAAUAAUUGUCGUAUAAAGAUCAUGCCAGAGAUCUCAGAAAAACAAAAAGGCAGCUUCUUCUAACUGAUAAAGAAGGCAGCUUAACAAGAACACUGGGUUCCUGCUUCGACAAGGGACUUGGAAGGUUUCACUUUCCCUCUCUGGUAUUGGUUUCCCUUCUGGAUCCCCAAACUCAGCAAAAUUCAGAAACCAUGACCUCCAAGUCUCAGCUGCCUUGUAUCACAAAUAUCACUUACUCCAUGAAGCCUUCUUGGAUUCUUCACCACCCCCCAAGCUGUAAGUGACUCCACCUCUCUGCUAUUUCCUUUUUUCCACCUGAAAUUCUGAUUAUUUGUGAAAUGACUUUAUGUGCCUACCAGCCUGAAAUGACCUUGAGAUCAUAGCAGGUACCAAUACUUUAUAUUUGAAUAAUACUUAAUAUUUUGCACGAAUCAACUACCCAUCAGGAAAGGAAGGCUUUAUCAUCCCCACUUCCAUUCUUCAGAUUACAAAACAAGUACUUGAAUGGUAUACCUAAGAUUGUGUAAAAUGGCAGAGCAAA